This 680-nucleotide long non-coding RNA is filed under the name Salvia miltiorrhiza (redroot sage). RNAcentral describes it as "long non-coding RNA (SMIL_LNC005288)". Lineage: Eukaryota; Viridiplantae; Streptophyta; Magnoliopsida; Lamiales; Lamiaceae. The record is from RNAcentral.
UUCAUCUUCGUCUCCUCUCCAUUAUUUCCAAAAUUUCCCGGACUAUAUCCCGACCGAUGAUUCGUUGAAUCGACGGUGGAGAUCUAUUAAGAGCAGCAAAAAUGUUUUUUUUAUUUUAUUUCAUUAAAUCUAUACAUUUCAGAAAUGUACGUACAUACACAAUCGCCUCGCAUCCCCUCUCUCGCGAAACCAAAAUCGACUACUGUUGUUUCCGAUUCUAUCUCUCUCUAAAAUCCAAUCACUUUCUUUCUCUAUUAGAUCCCUAAAUUUUUGCACUCCGUUUCAAAACCCUAGCGAUCGAGCAGCUGAUCAGUUCUCGUUUUUCUCAGUGCAUUGCGACGACCACCGCUUUGUUUCUUGAAUUCAAUUUCUAUUCCUGGUACGUAUUGUUUCUGUUUCUGUAUUGUUCAAGUAUCUAAUUCAGUCCUAAUUUCGGUGAACUGGAUAGUGAAACAAUACGCGCCGGAAUCAGGACAUGGGUGCUUUCUUGGUGCUGAUUUUUUGUGAAUUCAGGGAAGGGUGAUGAAAAUUGGAGGAUGAACGAUGCCGGUGCUGCGUGGCGGAGUGCGCAGAGGCCGGAGAGGGAACCAGAAGCAGGACCAGCCACUGCCGGAUAAGGACGGCGACAACGUCGGUAAGAAUCAGAAUCAGGACAAUAAGAGAAGUAGGCAGCCGGCAGN